GCCAGGUGCAGUGGUGUACACCUGUAAUCCCAGCAACUGGAGAGGCUGAGGCAGUAGGAUCUCGAGUUCAAAGCCAACCUCAGCAAAAGCAUGGUGCUAAGCAACUCAGUGAGACCUUGCCUCUA
Molecule: small RNA, 125 nt
Filed under: Marmota monax (woodchuck)
Lineage: Eukaryota; Metazoa; Chordata; Mammalia; Rodentia; Sciuridae
Source: RNAcentral